CUGUGAGAAAUCCUGCUCCUUGCAUGAAUGGAGCUUGUUUUAAAUGGUCUGAUUCUUUGAGGUCGGUGGGAGGGAAGGAAUUCGGCUACCAGCAUUGCUUGGCCAAUUCAGCCCAUGAACUGGUUACUGCAGGUGGUUUUCACGGGUGCGGGGAAAUUACAGUCCCAGACUCAAGCCUGUAUCAGUAAACACCACCGCCUCAGGCCGGCCGCUUCAAUUCCGCUGGACCCCUGGCAGUUCAAACAGGGCACCUGGGUCAGUCUGUGAGCUUAGCAGGCAUGGCUGACCCUGGCUGCCCAGCAAACAGUUUAUGUUGGGGAGCAAUCUAGAGAUUUCCUGAGAUAAGGAUGCUAUUACAGGCUGACAAAUGUGGAAAGGAGCAGAGUGGGCAGCUUUUGUCCAGACUGACCCCGGGAAAAAAAGACUUUGCAAUUUUGGGAACUCUUCAAAUACCACCAUUCCUGUGAACCCCAUUACCCUUAGGAUAAAAUCUACAGUCCUUAACUAGCCUCUGAUGGUCUGCACGAUGGAGCCCUACCCACCUCGUCAACUCUUGCUCCUGCCACUGGCCCCUGCAACCUACUGCAUCAACCACAAGUGCUGCCACUCAGGUUUCCGAGUUCUCUGAGCUCUGCUCCACUUCUGCCUGAACUGGUGCUGGGCCCUCCUCCCAGGGCUCUUACCUGGCAAUUCCUCCUUAUCCUUCUUGUUUCGGGUUGAAUGUUAUCUGCAGAGGCUUGGCUAGGUCUCUCAUUAUGAUCUCCUGGGGCCCUUAGCACAAUCAUAAAUAGUUAAUUAUUGGUGACUAUCGGUUUGAAAGGGGUUUCCCUGGUGGCACAGAUGGUAAAGAAUCCAUCUACAAUGCAGAAGACCCAGGUUCGACCCCUGGGUCAGAGAGUGGGAAUAUCCACUGGAGAAGAGAAUGGCAACCCACUCCAGUAUUUUUGUCUGGACAGAAGACACUGCUGGGCUACAGUUCAUGGGGUCACAGAGUCGGACACGACUGAGCAACUAACCCACACACAUUGGUUUGAAAUUUCGCUCCCUCACUGGCAAGGACUAUAUCCUAUUCACCUAGCACUCCAAACAUUUGAAUGAUCACCAAGGUCAAAUGAAUGAAUGAAUCAAGUAG
Bos taurus (domestic cattle) is the source of this 1132-nucleotide long non-coding RNA. NCBI's taxonomy places the organism in Eukaryota, Metazoa, Chordata, Mammalia, Artiodactyla, Bovidae. The record is from Ensembl.